UGAUAGCGUUGAAGCGUGAGGUUGCUGCAGGGCCGAAAGGCACUGCAGGUUUUCCGUGGAGCGAAUGUCAAGAGGCCGCGUAAGAUGGCCAAAGAACCUGACGGCAA
This 107-nucleotide non-coding RNA is filed under the name unclassified sequences. RNAcentral's name for it is "S10-Clostridia ribosomal protein leader". It matches the Rfam family "S10-Clostridia ribosomal protein leader". The record is from RNAcentral.